Molecule: ribosomal RNA, 253 nt
Filed under: uncultured bacterium
Lineage: Bacteria
Description: partial 16S ribosomal RNA
Rfam family: Bacterial small subunit ribosomal RNA
Source: RNAcentral
UACAGAGGGUGCAAGCGUUAAUCGGAAUUACUGGGCGUAAAGCGUGCGUAGACGGUUAUGUAAGUCAGAUGUGAAAGCCCCGGGCUCAACCAGGGAAUUGCAUUUGAGACUGUGUAGCUAGGGUGCGGAAGAGGGAAGCGGAAUUUCCGGUGUAGCGGUGAAAUGCGUAGAUAUCGGAAGGAACACCAGUGGCGAAAGCGGCUUCCUGGUCCAGCACCGACGUUCAGGCACGAAAGCGUGGGGAGCAAACAGG